GACGAACGCUGGCGGCGUGCUUAACACAUGCAAGUCGAACGGAAAGGCCCUGCUUUUGUGGGGUGCUCGAGUGGCGAACGUGUGAGUAACACGUGAGUAACCUGCCCUUGACUUUGGGAUAACUUCAGGAAACUGGGGCUAAUACCGGAUAGGAGCUCCUGCUGCAUGGUGGGGGUUGGAAAGUUUCGGCGGUUGGGGUUGGACUCGCGGCUUAUCAGCUUGUUGGUGGGGUAGUGGCUUACCAAGGCUUUGACGGGUAGCCGGCCUGGGAGGGUGACCGGCCACAUUGGGACUGAGAUACGGCCCAGACUCCUACGGGAGGCAGCAGUGGGGAAUAUUGCACAAUGGGCGGAAGCCUGAUGCAGCAACGCCGCGUGCGGGAUGACGGCCUUCGGGUUGUAAACCGCUUUCGCCUGUGACGAAGCGUGAGUGACGGUAAUGGGUAAAGAAGCACCGGCUAACUACGUG
This 468-nucleotide ribosomal RNA is filed under the name uncultured bacterium. RNAcentral describes it as "partial 16S ribosomal RNA". It matches the Rfam family "Bacterial small subunit ribosomal RNA", at positions 28 to 507 of the family's 1533-position model. The record is from RNAcentral.